GUGAGGAAUAUUGCGCAAUGGAGGCAACUCUGACGCAGCCAUGCCGCGUGCAGGAAGAAGGCGCUACGCGUUGUAAACUGCUUUUAACCGGGAAGAAACCCCAGGACGUGUCCUGGGUUGACGGUACCGGAGGAAUAAGCACCGGCUAACUUCGUGCCAGCAGCCGCGGUAAUACGAAGGGUGCAAGCGUUAUCCGGAUUCAUUGGGUUUAAAGGGUGCGUAGGCGGAGCGUUAAGUCAGUGGUGAAAUCCUGCAGCUUAACUGUAGACUUGCCAUUGAUACUGGCGCUCUUGAGUGCGCUUGAAGUGGGCGAAAUGUGCCGUGUAGCGGUGAAAUGCUUAGAUAUGGCACAGAACACCAAUUGCGAAGGCAGCUCACUAAGGCGAUACUGACGCUGAGGCACGAAAGCGUGGGGAUCGAACAGGAUUAGAAACCCGUGUAGUCC
This 445-nucleotide ribosomal RNA is filed under the name uncultured bacterium. Its description in RNAcentral is "partial 16S ribosomal RNA". It matches the Rfam family "Bacterial small subunit ribosomal RNA", at positions 354 to 796 of the family's 1533-position model. The record is from RNAcentral.